ACCUUGCGUCGCACGAGCUCUCUUCGUCACUCCUUGCGUCACACGAGCUCCCUCCGCCAGUGCCUCGUCGCGUAUGCUCCCUUCGUCGCCAUCGUCGCAGAGCUCUCUCCCUCUCUGCUGCCUCUCGUUGUGUCUGCUCCCUGCGUGAAUUUCAGAUGCUGUGCUUGCAAGAGUU
Arachis ipaensis is the source of this 175-nucleotide non-coding RNA. The record is from RefSeq and is a predicted model, not a curated record. Lineage: Eukaryota; Viridiplantae; Streptophyta; Magnoliopsida; Fabales; Fabaceae.